RNAcentral lists this ribosomal RNA (533 nucleotides) under uncultured bacterium. RNAcentral's name for it is "bacterial SSU rRNA". It matches the Rfam family "Bacterial small subunit ribosomal RNA", at positions 370 to 896 of the family's 1533-position model. The record is from RNAcentral.
AAUGGGCGCAAGCCUGACGGAGCGACGCCGCGUGGAGGAGAAGGCCUUCGGGUUGUAAACUCCUGUCACGACUUACGAAUCCGUCCGGGGGUAACUUCCGGACGUCGACGAAGGGUCGGAAGGAAGCCACGGCUAACUUCGUGCCAGCAGCUGCGGUAAGACGAAGGUGGCGAGCGUUGUUCGGAUUCACUGGGCAUAAAGGGCGCGUAGGCGGUUCCGUAGGUGGCGUGUGAAAUCCCCCGGCUCAACCGGGGAAGUGCGCGCCAAACCUCGGUUCUUGAGGGCGGUAGGGGGGACUGGAACUCUCGGUGGAGCGGUGAAAUGCGUAGAUAUCGAGAGGAACACCGGCGGCGAAGGCGAGUCCCUGGUCCGCAUCUGACGCUGAGGCGCGAAAGCGUGGGUAGCAAACAGGAUUAGAUACCCUGGUAGUCCACGCCGUAAACGAUGGGCACUAGGUAGCGGCCGGAUCCGACCGGUCGCUGCUGACGGAAAUCCAUUAAGUGCCCCGCCUGGGGAGUAUGGUCGCAAGGCUG